RNAcentral lists this ribosomal RNA (253 nucleotides) under uncultured bacterium. Its description in RNAcentral is "partial 16S ribosomal RNA". It matches the Rfam family "Bacterial small subunit ribosomal RNA", at positions 524 to 776 of the family's 1533-position model. The record is from RNAcentral.
UACGUAGGUGGCAAGCGUUGUCCGGAUUUACUGGGUGUAAAGGGCGUGUAGCCGGGCUGACAAGUCAGAUGUGAAAUCCGGGGGCUCAACCCCCGAACUGCAUUUGAAACUGUUGGUCUUGAGUAUCGGAGAGGCAGGCGGAAUUCCUAGUGUAGCGGUGAAAUGCGUAGAUACUAGGAGGAACACCAGUGGCGAAGGCGGCCUGCUGGACGACAACUGACGGUGAGGCGCGAAAGCGUGGGGAGCAAACAGG